UACGUAGGGUGCAAGCGUUGUCCGGAAUUAUUGGGCGUAAAGAGCUUGUAGGCGGUUUGUCGCGUCUGCUGUGAAAUUUCGGGGCUCAACCCCGAACUUGCAGUGGGUACGGGCAGACUAGAGUGUGGUAGGGGAGACUGGAAUUCCUGGUGUAGCGGUGAAAUGCGCAGAUAUCAGGAGGAACACCGAUGGCGAAGGCAGGUCUCUGGGCCACUACUGACGCUGAGACGCGAAAGCUAGGGGAGCGAACAGG
This 253-nucleotide ribosomal RNA is filed under the name uncultured bacterium. RNAcentral's name for it is "partial 16S ribosomal RNA". It matches the Rfam family "Bacterial small subunit ribosomal RNA", at positions 524 to 776 of the family's 1533-position model. The record is from RNAcentral.